Molecule: unclassified non-coding RNA, 475 nt
Filed under: Hevea brasiliensis (rubber tree)
Lineage: Eukaryota; Viridiplantae; Streptophyta; Magnoliopsida; Malpighiales; Euphorbiaceae
Source: RNAcentral
ACUAGAAGUGGCAGAGGGAAGCAUACCACUUACUUCCUAUUAUAGGGUCAAAACAAUUAUCCACUUCUGCAGCAUCAUAAGCACGGGGAUUGUUUCUCAGAGCAUUAAUCAGGGUAGAUUUCCCAACUCCACUAGGACCCACAAUCACUGUAGUCUGAUCCCUCAAAAUAAAUGCAAGAGAAUCAAGUCCUCGCUUGGAUUCAACACUACAAAACACUGGUUCAUAACCCCAGCUCCGCAGUCUAGAUUUCCAUUCAACCAAUGUCUCUUCAUCUACAAGCUCCGAUUUAUUUAAAGCGAGCGUGAACGGAAUGCCAGUGGACUCAGCCUCGACUAAAAACCUUGUGAGCGUGAAUGGCUCAAGCUUCGGCUGCUCCAUGGAGAAAAGCACCAACAAGUGAUCCACAUUAGCCACCGGAGGGUCCAAAAUCUCCGAUCUCCGUUGGAACACAUUCUCGAUCAUGCCCCUUCGGUC